Molecule: non-coding RNA, 315 nt
Organism: Pelobates cultripes (western spadefoot toad)
Lineage: Eukaryota; Metazoa; Chordata; Amphibia; Anura; Pelobatidae
Source: the annotation of a GenBank genome assembly
UAAAAAUACUACUAAAGUAUUAGAACAACCAUUAAAAAAUAUCUAUACAAAAUAUACUUUAAAAAGGCUUCUGCAAGGGGGCGCAGCCAACUGUUUAACAGAGCGAAUGCAAAGCCCUGAGCUCUGUGCCCAAAUCGGCUAAAAAUCGAGAAAACUACUGCUAAUCAGGCAUAAAUAAGAGGAGAGAACAGCACCAUAACCCGCACCUCAAUCUGGAGUAGAAAAUGGGUCGCAAAACAAAAAAACCCAGAGCCGAUAAAGGCCCCAACACGAAAGACAUUGGUGAGCUGCUGAGACACUCACAACAGGCCGCAU